GCCUGGCUGGCUCAGUCGGUAGAGUGUGGGACUCUUGAUCUCCAGGUUAUGGGUUUGAGUCCCAUGCUGGGUG
Molecule: non-coding RNA, 73 nt
Organism: Suricata suricatta (meerkat)
Lineage: Eukaryota; Metazoa; Chordata; Mammalia; Carnivora; Herpestidae
Source: the annotation of a RefSeq genome assembly